GCAAGUUUUGCUUCUUGAGAUAGGCAAGAUAGCACUUUUGCAAUUUUUGUUUGGCAAGCUUGUGAUGUUCAAGAUAACAAGCUCUUUCUUCUCUUUUGAGAAGUGUCAUUUUUGCUUUAUUUGCAAAGUGCAAGCUAGCAAAAUGCCAAACUAGCAAGAGAUAAUGUUUUACAUGAGGCAAGCAAACAAUUUGGCAAGUGUUACAUUUGCAUCUUCUCUUUAGAUGUGCAAGAAAAUAAAUAAGUUUUUGCAUUUUCUUGACAUUUCAAGCUAGCAAUUAUCGGUGAUGUUCAAGAUAGCAAUUUCUUCUCUUUUGUAAUUUUUGCCUUUUUCUUGAAUUGUGCUAGCAAUCUAUCUCCCCCUUUGUCAUUGUCAAAAAGAAGGGAAAAACCCUUUACAUCAAUUUCUAAAUCAUGACAAAGGUAAGUAAUCAUUCUUAUUUGUGCAUCAUUAUAGUUU
Molecule: long non-coding RNA, 459 nt
Filed under: Musa acuminata (dwarf banana)
Lineage: Eukaryota; Viridiplantae; Streptophyta; Magnoliopsida; Zingiberales; Musaceae
Description: long non-coding RNA (MACU_LNC010364)
Source: RNAcentral